UUCCGGUUGAUCCCGCCGGACCUGACUGCUAUCGGAUUGAUACUAAGCCAUGCGAGUCAUUGUAGCAAUACAAGGCAUACGGCUCAGUAACGCGUAGUCAACCUACCCUAUGGACGGGAAUAACCUCGGGAAACUGAGUAUAAUGCCCGAUAGAACACUAUACCUGGAAUGGUUUGUGUUUCAAAUGAUUUAUUGCCGUAGGAUGGGACUGCGGCCUAUCAGUUUGUUGGUGAGGUAAUGGCCCACCAAGACUAUUACAGGUACGGGCUCUGAGAGGAGUGGCCCGGAGAUGGGUACUGAGACACGGACCCAGGCCCUAUGGGGCGCAGCAGGCGAGAAAACUUUGCAAUGUGCGAAAGCACGACAAGGUUAAUCCGAGUGGUUUCUGCUAAAGGAACCUUUUGACAGUCCUAGAAACACUGUUGAAUAAGGGGUGGGCAAGUUCUGGUGUCAGCCGCCGCGGUAAAACCAGCACCUCAAGUGGUCAGGAUGAUUAUUGGGCCUAAAGCAUCCGUAGCCGGCUCAGUAAGUUUUCGGUUAAAUCUGUACGCUCAACGUACAGGCUGCCGGGAAUACAGCAGAGCUAGGGAGUGGGAGAGGUAGACGGUACUCGGGAGGAAGUGGUAAAAUGCUUUGAUCUUUCGAUGACCACCUGUGGCGAA
Molecule: ribosomal RNA, 662 nt
Filed under: uncultured archaeon
Lineage: Archaea
Description: bacterial SSU rRNA
Rfam family: Archaeal small subunit ribosomal RNA
Source: RNAcentral